GUCUACGGCCAUGCUACCCUGAACAAGCCUGAUCCUGUCUGAUCUUGGAAGCUAAGGAGGGUAGGGCCUGGUUAGUACUUAAAUGGGAGACCACCUAGGAAGACCAGGUGCUGUAGACA
Molecule: ribosomal RNA, 119 nt
Filed under: Pteropus alecto (black flying fox)
Lineage: Eukaryota; Metazoa; Chordata; Mammalia; Chiroptera; Pteropodidae
Source: RNAcentral